AUCUGGGCGACGGAAUUCAGGAUGGCUGGCGCGGGCUUCGCGCUCGCGUGGCCGUUUGAUAUUUCCGUCGCCGUGUCGGACGUCGCGACCUGUUGGCCGUCGGUCCUUGCUCGGAGGAAGCGCGAUCGAGUUCGUUGGGCGACGCGUUCCGGCGUGUCGCGCGACGAAGACGCGACUCUCUGGCUGACGGCGGACAGUAAGCAACGGUGUCCGACGCCGUGUCUCGCACUCGGCGCCGGUGCCGGUCUGCGACGAUUUCUUCGGGCCUCUUUCCGACCCGUCUUGAAACACGGACCAAGGAGUCUAACAUGCGCGCGAGUCGCGGGGUUUCGAGCGCGCUACGGUGCGCUCGUCACUUGCGAAACCCGUACGUGGAAGGCGUAAUGAAAGUGAAUGUGGGGAAGAUGGCGUUCCGAGUCCACGUACCGUGAUCUCGAGUGUCGCGGCCGGACGUCCGCACUCCCGGGGCGUCUCGAUGGUUCGUCGCGGACGCGGACGGUCGUCUUUCGGGGCGGCCGUCGGUCUGCGCCGGACCGA
This 537-nucleotide ribosomal RNA is filed under the name Pseudaulacaspis sp. D2106A. Its description in RNAcentral is "eukaryotic LSU rRNA". The record is from RNAcentral. Lineage: Eukaryota; Metazoa; Arthropoda; Insecta; Hemiptera; Diaspididae.